CCUACGGGAGGCAGCAGUGGGGAAUAUUGCACAAUGGGCGCAAGCCUGAUGCAGCAACGCCGCGUGAGGGACGACGGCCUUCGGGUUGUAAACCUCUUUUAGUAGGGAAGAAGCGAAAGUGACGGUACCUGCAGAAAAAGCACCGGCUAACUACGUGCCAGCAGCCGCGGUAAUACGUAGGGUGCAAGCGUUAUCCGGAAUUAUUGGGCGUAAAGAGCUCGUAGGCGGUUUGUCGCGUCUGCUGUGAAAACUGGAGGCUCAACCUCCAGCCGGCAGUGGGUACGGGCAAACUAGAGUGCGGUAGGGGAGAUUGGAAUUCCUGGUGUAGCGGUGGAAUGCGCAGAUAUCAGGAGGAACACCGAUGGCGAAGGCAGAUCUCUGGGCCGUAACUGACGCUGAGGAGCGAAAGCAUGGGGAGCGAACAGGAUUAGAUACCCUGGUAGUCCAUGCCGUAAACGUUGGGCGCUAGAUGUGGGGACCAUUCCACGGUUUCCGUGUCGCNGCUACGACAUAGCGCCCGCCGUCGGGAGGUACGGCCGCGAGGACGUAAACUACAAGGAAAGUUAGACGGCGUGAGACGUGCCGAACGGACGACCGACCGAGGGAGGUAGG
This 612-nucleotide ribosomal RNA is filed under the name uncultured bacterium. RNAcentral's name for it is "bacterial SSU rRNA". The stretch from base 1 to 522 matches the Rfam family "Bacterial small subunit ribosomal RNA", at positions 338 to 873 of the family's 1533-position model. The record is from RNAcentral.